Molecule: ribosomal RNA, 492 nt
Filed under: uncultured bacterium
Lineage: Bacteria
Description: partial 16S ribosomal RNA
Rfam family: Bacterial small subunit ribosomal RNA
Source: RNAcentral
AGUGAACGCUGGCGGUAGGCCUAACACAUGCAAGUCGAACGGCAGCACAGUAAGAGCUUGCUCUUACGGGUGGCGAGUGGCGGACGGGUGAGGAAUACAUCGGAAUCUACUUUUUCGUGGGGGAUAACGUAGGGAAACUUACGCUAAUACCGCAUACGACCUACGGGUGAAAGCAGGGGAUCUUCGGACCUUGCGCGAUUGAAUGAGCCGAUGUCGGAUUAGCUAGUUGGCGGGGUAAAGGCCCACCAAGGCGACGAUCCGUAGCUGGUCUGAGAGGAUGAUCAGCCACACUGGAACUGAGACACGUUCCAGACUCCUACGGGAGGCAGCAGUGGGGAAUAUUGGACAAUGGGCGCAAGCCUGAUCCAGCCAUACCGAGUGGGUGAAGAAGGCCUUCGGGUUGUAAAGCCCUUUUGUUGGGAAAGAAAAGCAGCAGGUUAAUACCCCGCUGUUCUGACGGUACCCAAAGAAUAAGCACCGGCUAACUUCGUG